GAUGAACGCUAGCGGCAGGCCUAAUACAUGCAAGUCGAGGGAGAAUGUUGGAUUCGUCUGACAUGAAACCGGCGCACGGGUGCGUAACACGUAUGCAACCUACCUUUAACUGGGGUAUAGCUCAGAGAAAUCUGAAUUAAUCCCCCAUAAGACUACGACAUGGCAUCAUGAUGUAGUUAAAGCUCCGGCGGUUAAGGAUGGGCAUGCGGUACAUUAGCUAGUUGGUGAGGUAAUGGCUCACCAAGGCUACGAUGUAUAGGGGGUCUGAGAGGAUGGUCCCCCACACUGGUGCUGAGACACGGACCAGACUCCUACGGGAGGCAGCAGUAGGGAAUAUUGGUCAAUGGACGCAAGUUUGAACCAGCCAUGCCGCGUGAAGGAUGAAGGCCCUAUGGGUCGUAAACUUCUUUUAUUAGGGAAGAAAAAACGGGAUGCGUCCUGUACUGACGGUACUUAAUGAAUAAGGAUCGGCUAACUUCGUGCCAGCCGCCGCAGUAA
RNAcentral lists this ribosomal RNA (498 nucleotides) under uncultured bacterium. Its description in RNAcentral is "partial 16S ribosomal RNA". It matches the Rfam family "Bacterial small subunit ribosomal RNA", at positions 28 to 523 of the family's 1533-position model. The record is from RNAcentral.